Molecule: ribosomal RNA, 497 nt
Filed under: uncultured bacterium
Lineage: Bacteria
Description: partial 16S ribosomal RNA
Rfam family: Bacterial small subunit ribosomal RNA
Source: RNAcentral
GAUGAACGCUGGCGGCGUGCCUAAUACAUGCAAGUCGAGCGAACGGACGAGAAGCUUGCUUCUCUGAUGUUAGCGGCGGACGGGUGAGUAACACGUGGAUAACCUACCUAUAAGACUGGGAUAACUUCGGGAAACCGGAGCUAAUACCGGACGAUAUUUUGAACCGCAUGGUUCAAAAGUGAAAGACGGUCUUGCUGUCACUUAUAGAUGGAUCCGCGCUGCAUUAGCUAGUUGGUAAGGUAACGGCUUACCAAGGCAACGAUGCAUAGCCGACCUGAGAGGGUGAUCGGCCACACUGGAACUGAGACACGGUCCAGACUCCUACGGGAGGCAGCAGUAGGGAAUCUUCCGCAAUGGGCGAAAGCCUGACGGAGCAACGCCGCGUGAGUGAUGAAGGUCUUCGGAUCGUAAAACUCUGUUAGUAGGGAAGAACAUAUGUGUAAGUAACUGUGCACAUCUUGACGGUACCUAAUCAGAAAGCCACGGCUAACUACGUG